UUCUUAUUAGCUCAAUGGUAGAGCAGGAUACUUCUAAUAUUCUGAUCUUGGUUCGAAUCCGAGAUAGGAAU
This 71-nucleotide transfer RNA is filed under the name Usnea subgracilis. RNAcentral describes it as "tRNA-Arg". It matches the Rfam family "tRNA". From Rfam's summary of the family: Transfer RNA (tRNA) molecules are approximately 80 nucleotides in length. The record is from RNAcentral. Lineage: Eukaryota; Fungi; Ascomycota; Lecanoromycetes; Lecanorales; Parmeliaceae.